Oncorhynchus tshawytscha (Chinook salmon) is the source of this 4725-nucleotide long non-coding RNA. The record is from Ensembl. NCBI's taxonomy places the organism in Eukaryota, Metazoa, Chordata, Actinopteri, Salmoniformes, Salmonidae.
UUUUAUUAUAGGGUGUUCAUCUGAUAUGAUUCAACCCCUCUCCAAUACAGUUUUAUUAUAGGGUGUUCAUCUGAUAUGAUUCAACCCCUCUCCAAUACAGUUUUAUUAUAGGGUGUUCAUCUGAUAUGAUUCAACCCCUCUCCAAUACAGUUUUAUUAUAGGGUGUUCAUCUAAAUGAUUCAACCCCUCUUCAAUACAGUUUUAUUAUAGGGUGUUCAUCUAAAUGAUUCAACCCCUCUCCAAUACAGUUUUAUUAUAGGGUGUUCAUCUAAAUGAUUCAACCCCUCUCCAAUACAGUUUUAUUAUAGGGUGUUCAUCUGAUAUGAUUCAACCCCUCUCCAAUACAGUUUUAUUAUAGGGUGUUCAUCUGAUAUGAUUCAACCCCUCUCCAAUACAGUUUUAUUAUAGGGUGUUCAUCUAAAUGAUUCAACCCCUCUCCAAUACAGUUUUAUUAUAGGGUGUUAAUCUGAUAUGAUUCAACCCCUCUCCAAUACUGCCAUGGGUGUCUCAGUGCAGUCCAGCCUAAGCAUAGCAUCAGUAGAGUCCUGCUCUACGGUUAAACUACACUAUAUUACAGACAUGCAUGAAGCAAAAAGGAUAAUCACACUUACGAUGAUUAACCAAUGACAGCAAACAUGUACCGUAAAGCCACGCCUCCCCCCCAAUGAUAGCAAACAUGUACCGUAAAGCCACGCCUCCCCCAAUGACAGCAAACAUGUACCGUAAAGCCACGCCCCCCCAAUGAUAGCAAACAUGUACCGUAAAGCCACGCCUCCCCCCUCCCCCAGCUACCACAUUUACAUGCCAUUCCUGUGCAUGUUAACCUGGUUCACACUAUCGGAAAAAAACAAGCUAAGCCCUUCCUUAGCUGAACUAGGCUGGUCUAGGGUGGUCUGGUUAAAUAUCUAGCAGCUGAACUAGGCUGGUCUAGGGUGGUCUGGUUAAACAUCUACCAGCUGAACUAGGCUGGUCUAGGGUGGUCUGGUUAAACAUCUACCAGCUGAACUAGGCUGGUCUAGGGUGGUCUGGUUAAACAUCUACCAGCUGAACUAGGUUGGUGUAGGGUGGUCUGGUUAAACAUCUACCAGCUGGACUAGGUUGGUGUAGGGUGGUCUGGUUAAACAUCUACCAGCUGGACUAGGUUGGUGUAGGGUGGUCUGGUUGAACAUCUACCAGACCCAUGUUCUACCAGAUUAGUCCUCCUAUAGUACCAUGUUCUACCAGAUUAGUCCUCCUAUAGUACCGUGUUCUACCAGAUUAGUCCUCCUAUAGAACCAUGUUCUACCAGGUUAGUCCUCCUAUUGUACCAUGUUCUACCAGAUUAGUCCUCCUAUAGUACCAUGUUCUACCAGAUUAGUCUUCCUAUAGUACCAUGUUCUACCAGAUUAGUCCUCCUAUAGUACCAUGUCCUACCAGAUUAGUCCUCCUAUAGUACCAUGUUCUACCAGAUUAGUCCUCCUACAGUACCAUGUUAUACCAGAUUAGUCCUCCUAUAGUACCAGACCCCAUGUUCUACCAGAUUAGUCCUCCUAUAGUACCAUGUUCUACCAGAUUAGUCCUCCUAUCGUACCAUGUUCUACCCAGAUUAGUCCUCCUAUUGUACCAUGUUCUACCCAGAUUAGUCCUCUUAUAGAACCAGACCCCAUGGUCUACCAGAUUAGUCCUCCUAUAGUACCAUGUUCUACCAGAUUAGUCCUCCUAUUGUACCAUGUUCUACCAGAUUAGUCCUCCUAUAGUACCAUGUUCUACCCAGAUUAGUCCUCCUAUAGAACCAUGUUCUACCAGAUUAGUCCUCCUAUAGUACCAUGUUCUACCAGAUUAGUCCUCCUAUAGUACCAGACCCCAUGUUCUACCAGAUUAGUCCUCCUUUAGAACCAUGUUCUACCAGAUUAGUCUUCCUAUAGUACAAUGUUCUACCAGAUUAGUCCUCCUAUAGUACCAUGUUCUACCAGAUUAGUCCUCCUAUAGUACCAGACCCCAUGUUCUACCAGAUUAGUCCUCCUAUAGUACCAUGUUCUACCAGAUUAGUCCUCCUAUAGAACCAUGUUCUACCAGAUUAGUCCUCCUAGGUAUUGGAUGAAAUAAAAACCAUAUCUAGUAUGUAUGGGGCUGUGUGGAAACAGUGGAUUAUCUAGUAUGUAUGGUGCUGUGUGGAAACAGUGGAUUACCUAGUAUGUAUGGUGCUGUGUGGAAAAACGGGAUUAUCUAGUAUGUAUGGUGCUGUGUGGAAACAGGGGAUUAUCUAGUAUGUAUGGUGCUGUGUGGAAACAGGGGAUUAUCUAGUGUGUAUGGUGCUGUGUGGAAACUGUAGGUUAUCUAGUAUGUAUGGUGCUGUGUGGAAACAGUGGAUUACCUAGUAUGUAUGGUGCUGUGUGGAAACAGGGAUUAUCUAGUAUGUAUGGUGCUGUGUGGAAACAGGGGAUUAUCUAGUAUGUAUGGUGCUGUGUGGAAACAGUGGAUUAUCUAGUAUGUAUGGUGCUGUGUGGAAACAGGGAUUAUCUAGUAUGUAUGGUGCUGUGUGGAAACAGUGGAUUAUCUAGUAUGUAUGGUGCUGUGUGGAAACUGUGGGUUAUCUAGUAUGUAUGGUGCUGUGUGGAAACAGUGGAUUAUCUAGUAUGUAUGGUGCUGUGUGGAAACAGUGGAUUAUCUAGUGUGUAUGGUGCUGUGUGGAAACAGUGGAUUAUCUAGUAUGUAUGGUGCUGUGUGGAAACAGUGGAUUAUCUAGUAUGUAUGGUGCUGUGUGGAAACAGUGGAUUAUCUAGUAUGUAUGGUGCUGUGUGGAAACAGUGGAUUAUCUAGUGUGUAUGGUGCUGUGUGGAAACAGUGGAUUAUCUAGUGUGUAUGGUGCUGUGUGGAAACUGUGAGUCGUAGGAGCCUUUCAGUUGAAGAAAGAAUCCAUAAUGCCAGAUCUAGAUUUACCUCAAUUGUCCUGCCAGAUUAUGAAUUUAUUUAAAUGUUUAUCUUUAAAAAAAAAAAUAUUAACAUCAGGACAUCAGGGUACUCAGGCAGACGGGAUAGUUCUUCCUCAUUUGAUAAUGUUUUUAGAGUACAGUUGGCCAAAGCUCGAGACAGAUCUGUUCUUUUUAACUUGUAAACCAAUCAAGGGACCAAAGGUAGUGUUUUUUUUUUUUUAGAGCCUAUGUUUUGAUAAGCGUUUUGGCUACGUGCACAAAAGGUGGUGUGACGAUGACUAUGUCACAGUCCCAAAUGGCACCCUAUUCCCUACAAAGUGCACUACUUUUAGUGCACUAUAUAGGGGAUAGGGUGCCACCUGGGAUACAGAUCCUAUGCUAGAAGACACUCCCAAUAUACUGUAUAGUCCAAUAUGUGGAAAAAGCACCGUUUCUGAGGGUAGAAUUCACAUCUUUGGAUAACUUUUCAAAACAAACGAUGUGGUACCAUAUGUCAGCGUAUAUACUGUGUUGAUCAUGACAUCAUGAUGAUUGACAUGCGAUAUGGGGGGGGGGACCAAUGAGAAAAGGUUUAGUUGGAAGCUUUUGGGAUUUGUUAACCAUUUAUACCACAACAUGUUUUCCUGCGAUGGGGAUGAGUUGAUGUGUCUGUUUCGUUUAUGAAGUCGGAAAUAUGUAUAAAUAUAAUUUAUAUAUAUAUAUAUAUAUAUAUAUAUAUAUAUAUAUAUAUAUAUAUUUGAUUUCUUAAAAACCUUAACCCAAUGCUUAAUUAUAUAAAUCACCUACGUUGGUCCUACUGACACUGACAUUUGUAUUUUCUUAUCAAGGUUGUGAGAAAAAAUAAAAUAUAUGUAUUAUAUAUUUUUUUGUCUCUACACUUCUAUAACUGUAUCUUAUUCCAUACCAGAAUGAAGCGAUGUAUUGGAUAGCUCUGGUCCACGGUGUUACCACACGUCCCUCCAUGAAGACAUAUAUAUAUAUAAUGCCCUGGACCAGAGCUAUGUAUUGGAUAGCUCUGGUCCACGGUGUUACCACACGUCCCUCCAUGAAGACAUAUAUAUAUAUAUAUAAUGCCCUGGACCAGAGCUAUGUAUUGGAUAGCUCUGGUCCACGGUGGUACCACACGUCCCUCCAUGAAGACAUAUAUAUAUAUAUAAUGCCCUGGACCAGAGCUAUGUAUUGGAUAGCUCUGGUCCACGGUGUUACCACACGUCCUUCCAUGAAGACAUAUAUAUAAUGCCCUGGACCAGAGCUACGUAUUGGAUAGCUCUGGUCCACGGUGUUACCACACGUCCUUCCAUGAAGACAUAUAUAUAUAUAAUGCCCUGGACCAGAGCUAUGGUUAUGGGCCCGAUAGGGCCCAGGUCAACAGUAGUGCACUAUGUAGGGAAUAGGAUGCCGUUUGAGAUACAUCCUAUGUCUUUUAAACUAAAAGCAAUGAUUUAUACAGUACAAAGUGUUAUUGCGAUUUUAACUACUGAUAUGUAAAUUACCUGCUAUGAGUGCACAAGUCAUUUAAUAAAUUAUUAAAAUGUUAUUGAACCUAAAUAAGGUGUUUAAAUAUAUUUUUUUAUAUUCGUUGCAUAAAAGAUUCUGUUCUGUUAGAAACACGUCAUUACGAAGCUUCCUUCAUUUUGGUCAUGUCUCGAUUGGCACCCUAUUCCCUUUAUAGUGCACUACUUUGGACCAGGACCUGCAUAGAGAAUAGGGUGCCAGGGCCCAUAGGGUUCUGAUCUAAAGUAGUGCACUAUAUAGGGAAUAGGGUGCCAGGGGCCAUAGGGAUCUGGUCUAAAGUAGUGCACUAUAUAGGGAA